RNAcentral lists this transfer RNA (73 nucleotides) under Mesocricetus auratus (golden hamster). It matches the Rfam family "tRNA". From Rfam's summary of the family: Transfer RNA (tRNA) molecules are approximately 80 nucleotides in length. Their secondary structure includes four short double-helical elements and three loops (D, anti-codon, and T loops). Lineage: Eukaryota; Metazoa; Chordata; Mammalia; Rodentia; Cricetidae. The record is from Rfam by way of RNAcentral.
GGGAGUGUAGCUCAGUUGGUAGAGUGCUUGCUUGGCAUUCACAGAGCCCUGGGUUCAAACCCCAGCACACACC